AGAGAGAGAGAGGUACAAUUUCCUCUUCAAAAUUUUGUUUUUUUAGAUCAAUGUGAGAGAGAGUAUCAUAAUGAGAUAGAGAGGUUGGAUCCCAAUGGGGCACAUUUGGCUCUUCAAAACCAUAAAAAUGUUUUUUACCCUCUCCCUUUUUAUUUUUCGGUCUCUCUUUUCAUGAGAGAGAGAGAGAGAGAGACAUUUGGGGGCCACAUUUUUUAUCACUUAUUUUUUCAUUCUUUUUCUUUUUUUAACUCAUUUUUAUUAUUUUAUUUUUGAUUGGUGGAGAAUUAUAUGAGAGAAUAGUGAUCCAAGUGGGUCGUGAUUGGGGAAAUUGGGAUCCUUGAUAAUUUUGAUCUAAUGGCCAAUGAGAGGUAGAACAUAUUAGGGCUUCCAAAAUUACUCCUAGAGAGCCCUUUCUUAUGUUCAUAUGUAUUUUGUACAAAAUGAUAUUUACAAACAAAUAGAAUGGGGGGAUGAGAAAAGAAUUCAUUAAUUAUAUUUUUGUGUUUGACAAGACCUUCGGACUUGUGCCUACGUACUAUCAUAAAAAUGAGGGAUCAAAACCUCGUAGUUCAGGAUAUAAAUUUCAAAGUGGAUGCAUUGCUUUUAACAAAAAUUAGGUUUGAAAGACACAAAGGCCUAGAAAAUGGUUUGAAUGAGUUAGUUCUUUUUGGAUUUUUGAAAAUUUUAAGUCAAGUAUGGUUAAGUUUAUUUACAAGUUUGAUUUAAGAAAAGGAGUUUGAAAAUGCAAUGGCAUAAGGCCAAAGUU
RNAcentral lists this long non-coding RNA (766 nucleotides) under Lathyrus oleraceus (garden pea). RNAcentral's name for it is "Pisum sativum (pea) long non-coding RNA (PSAT_LNC013286)". The record is from RNAcentral. Lineage: Eukaryota; Viridiplantae; Streptophyta; Magnoliopsida; Fabales; Fabaceae.